Molecule: ribosomal RNA, 271 nt
Filed under: uncultured prokaryote
Description: partial 16S ribosomal RNA
Rfam family: Bacterial small subunit ribosomal RNA
Source: RNAcentral
UACGGAGGUUGCAAGCGUUGUUCGGAAUGACUGGGCGUAAAGGGAGCGCAGGCGGCCAAGUCAGUCUGAAGUGAAAGCCCGGGGCUUAACCCCGGAAUAGCUUUGGAUACUGCCUGGCUUGAGUGUGCGAUAGGAAAGCGGAAUUCCAGGUGUAGCGGUGAAAUGCGUAGAUAUCUGGAGGAACACCGGUGGCGAAAGCGGCUUUCUGGCGCAUAACUGACGCUGAGGCUCGAAAGCGUGGGGAGCGAACGGGAUUAGAUACCCCGGUAGU